This is a non-coding RNA of Pelobates cultripes (western spadefoot toad), 201 nucleotides long. The record is from the annotation of a GenBank genome assembly. Lineage: Eukaryota; Metazoa; Chordata; Amphibia; Anura; Pelobatidae.
GGAGAAACUUUCUAAAGAGGUUCAGUUCGGGCGCAUGGCAGGGCCAUUCCGGGACCUCCCGAUACCGGGUUUGAGGUUGUUCCCAAUAGGGGUGGUCCCCAAGAAGGAAGCGGGGAAGUAUCGGCUCAUACAUCACCUGUCGCACCCGAAAGGGGCGUCAGUGAAUGAUGAGAUUGAAAGGGAGCUAUGCUCGGUUAAGAU